AUAUUGUAUGAAGGAAGAAAAGGUUAGCUUGAUGAGGAUGGAAGAUGCCUUAGUGGCCUGCACAACACACAUAAGAAUAAAGUACCAUCACCUACUUCAUGCCAUCUAACUAUGUUU
Molecule: non-coding RNA, 117 nt
Filed under: Coturnix japonica (Japanese quail)
Lineage: Eukaryota; Metazoa; Chordata; Aves; Galliformes; Phasianidae
Source: RNAcentral